ACGGCGGAAUCCCUUGAGACGUCGGCCCGAACGUUGAGAUCUGAAUCGUCGCUUCUGUGUCGGUAACCUUAGUGCCGGAAACCGUGAACGGCGACACUUUAAACCCGUCCGAUAAUUUUGUUUUGUUUUGAUGAUGUUGAUUACUAAGGUCAUGAUCAUCUUGCUUGCAAAUGGUUGAGAGAAUUUGUUGUUUCUUUUGUAGCAAUAUCUCCACUUGUAAUUGUAACUCUGGUAUGUAUUUCAACAUUCUUGAAACUGUGGCCGGAAUGCUCAACCUUUUCUGCAUACAUUUUUAUUCGAAUUUAAAAAUUUAGUUCGAUUAAAUUGAAUAUGAUUUAAUUAGGUUUGAUUAUAAAAAAUUAAUAAUUUAAAUUUAUUCAACUCGAACUCAGUAUUGAUCAGAAAUUAAAACUAACUCGAAAGUCUUGAAUUUGUAAUAAUCUAAACUCGAAAUGACUCGAAUCUAAAAUAUUUUAAACUGGAAAUGAGCGGAAUGUGCAGGAGCAGAACAUAAUAGAAGCUAGAGGGUCUUGAAUCCCUAAAAAUUUAGGAAAUUUUUCAUUAAGCCNNNNNNNNNNNNNNNNNNNNNNNNNNNNNNNNNNNNNNNNNNNNNNNNNNNNNNNNNNNNNNNNNNNNNNNNNNNNNNNNNNNNNNNNNNNNNNNNNNNNNNNNNNNNNNNNNNNNNNNNNNNNNNNNNNNNNUUUCCCAAAAUGUUUGGAAAUUCUCAUUAAACCCCUUAAAACUUUUGAAAGUUUCAAUUAGACCCCAAUUUUCUUUUGAAAAUUUUAAUAAGUGCUCUCAAUUUUUUUGAAAACUUUAAUCAAAUCCCUUAAAUGUUUGGAAAUUCUCACUAAGCCCCUCAAAAUUUUUGAAAGUAACAAAAAAUAAUCCAAAUCUAAAGCGACAAACCCCCUAAAUACAUUAUCCAAAAAACCCAAAUGAAUUGAACCCAAAAUUACCAGAACUCAAAAUGGUUUGAACUUAAAAUAACUUAAACCACAAAUUGACACGAAAUCAAAAAUGAUAAAAAACUUAUAUAAUAUAUAUAUAUAUAUGAUGGCAAUUCAUACCGUUUGCUCAGAUGGUGGGAGCAUUGAACGAAGUGACGAGUACAAGUCAUUCAUCUUUCGUCUCCGGACACGCUCACUCGCGUUGUGGUUAAGCUUCUUGUCAACGGUAGUUGGGUUUUCAUCACCGGUAUCUCCGGCAGAGAACAUUGGUCGAUCGAGCUGGAUUCGAGGCAGAUCAUCAGGGAAUGUAAAAUGAUGGAAACCUUCAAAGCUUUCAAAGCCUGCAAAGGCACCACUGAUGAUAUGUUGGCGGCCAAUAGGAGCAUCUAAGGGCCAUUCACAUGCUGGAAACAAAGCACACAUGCUUGAUAGAUUGUGCUAUAUAGUUUAACCUUAAAAAAACUAUGACAUGAACCUUGAGCAUGAAAUUCUUUUUCAAGUUUCAUGAAUGUUGAACGGAGUAGGAAUAUUGGUUAAAAUAAAUAAACAAAAUAAUGGAGUUUAUAGAGCUUCUUAGUCAUCAAUGGCGUUCGAUAUAGAAAGAAAAGAAAUGCUGUAUACAUACAUCAAACGAAAGUGAAAUCAAUGUUGGGUUCCAACGACGGCGAAAACGCCAAUGAAAACAGCAGCGCCAUGAUCAACACCGGAACCAGCAGCAUCAUCCACGGCGGCGGCGGCAACGGCGGCAGCAACAGCGGCAACACCAGUAAGGAUAUCGUUAAAAGAACCAAGACGAUGACUGAAGUUACGGUGAAGAAUUUGAUGAUCAUCAAUGAAUAAUAAUAAUAAUGCAAAAAAAAAAACCCUUUUUUCUCAGAAGCCAAACAAAUUAAUAUAUACCCACCAUUGACGUAUCGUCUGCUUGAUAACAUUUUCUAUGGGAUUAAAAAGGAAAUUGAGAGGAGUUGAAGGGUAUUUAUGGGAUUUAAGAACAAAAGGGAAUGCUAGGGCUAUGGGGUCACUAUCAAAUCCCUACUUUGUUAAUGUCUCAAUUCAAUUAACCUUAACCUAAAAUCAUAGUUUUCUAAGUCCUAUUGGGUUAAAGAAAAUUAUAAAUUUUGGUACAACUAUGGCUACUUGAAUGUUUUAUAUUGUAUUUACUUUUCAAAAAUAUUAAUUAAUUAAAUUGUUUAUUUGAAUUUUGAAUGCAUAAUAUAAAUAAUAAUUAUCCAUAUUUUUUUUGAAUUUUUUUAAUUAAAAAAAUAUUUGUUAAUGAAAUCUUAAUUUAAUGACCAUAUGAGGAUUCGAAAUAGAUUUGAGCCUCAGCUAUUAUAAAUCACUUGUAAAUCCUGUUUAAAUUUAUUCUAAUUUAAGUAUGAAUAUAUUUUACUUAUCGGUCCGAUUUAACAUUGUGAUAUUGAUUCUAAUUGUGAUUAUUGAUGUAUUGAUUUGUAAAUUUAAUUAUGUUUGCACUAUUUUUAUUCUUAUGUUACUUUUUUUUUGGUGAAAGAAAUAACAAUACAAUGUAAAUAAACUAGACCCUAAAUGGAGGAUCUUCAAACAGUCUUAAGCCUAUUCUCCUAGUUUAAAUAGUCUUGACAAGACUAUCGACAAUUAAGUUCUCUUCUCUAGGAAUAUGCUAAAUUUUCCAUUGCUUAAACAUUUUAAGAGUAUGAUGAAUUCUCUUGACUAAGGCAAAAUUUGAAUUACCCGAAGAAUCCUCCAUGAUGGCGUUAAUGGCUUCGAUACAAUCUGUUUGAAUUAGAGUAUUCUCGAAGCAUUUAUCCAAAAUAAGGUUCAAUCCAUUCAAUAUCUCCCAAAGCUCUGCCUCUAACAUUGUACAAUUCUCCAAAUAUCUGGAGAACCCAAUAAUCCACUCACCAUUAUAUUCUCUCACAUAACCUCCAUAAGCUACAAAACCCUCAUCGACCCUUACCGAAUCAUCUGUAUUCAAACACACCCAAUUGCUAGAUAUAGAUCCCUUAAUUCAUAUGUUACUUUUAUAUAACUCAAAAAUACAUUUUAUAGAGGUGUAUUGACAUUCCAAUAAUUAAAUAAUUAAUUUAUAUAAUCUUUAUUAAUUUUAUUUUUGCAAGUAUUUACAUAAUAUUAUGAUUUUACCAAAUUUAAAAGUUAGACCUAAGUUGGGUUAAUUUCCCCUUCAAAUUAGAAAUAAUAUAUCUGAAAUCCAAAUAACUAUAAUUAGAACCUAGUAAUUAAAAUAUAUUUAGAUUUAAAUUAAAAUAAUUUUAAAAAAGUUCUUACAUCAUGAAAUUUAAAUCAAAACGAUGUUUAUUGAAUUGGAUACACAUAUAGCCAACUAAGUCCUACUGGUGUAAUAAUAUAUAUAUAUAUUAUCCAGGUUAAUAUCAUAUACAGGUUAUUUUGACCAUUUAUAUAUAUAUAUAUAUAUAUAUAUAUAUAUAUAAAUUCUUUUUUUUUGAAACAAAUAUAUAUAUAAAUUCAUAAAAAAAAGAGAGUGACUAAAUUAAUCCUUUUAGGCAGAGAUGAUAAGUGAAAAAGUAAUAAUAAACAAUAUAAUCUGCAAAAGAAUAUUCUCCAUUUAUGCAAUAUUUUUUGUUCUUAAAAGAGAGAAUAAUUAGGUCUUAGAGAGAACAAUGUAUCAGCUCCAUCAUUUUCUUAGUGGAAAAGAAAAAAAGGGUUAAUAUAUAAUUUGGUAUUUAUGAUUAAAUGUAGAAUUAAGUGUUUCUCAAGUCUUCUCUUAGUUUAGAUUUUAGACUUUCCUUUAGUCUUUUAUUAUUGAACUCUUAAAGUAGGGCAAAACUCUCCUAACAUUGUUUUUUUAUUUCAUAAGAAGUGGUGAAACUUGACAUUAUAGUUUGGAGUUUAUUAAAAUUUUUAUAGAUUUUGAGGUCUAAUUAAUUUUUAAAUUUUUUUGGGGGGUUUUGAGAAUUUUCAAAAAACAUAUCUAGUUAAAAAUUUUAAAAAUUAAUGGAAAUUUUCAAUAAUUUAGAGGGUUCAAUUAAAAGUGAAAUCACUCCGCCGAGUGUCGGCUGAUUUUGGGAUUAUUUUCCAGCACCGCCGGAAUUGAUGAAAAAAUGAGAAAAAUAUUGAAGCCCGUCAAGGACGAGGAAGUUGAUUAAAAUGAUGGCAAUGGGUGUCAAUUUCAAUGGCAGGGAAAUUAGUGCAGGUCAUGAUCAUCUUGCUUGCAAAUGGUUGAGAGAAUUUGUUGUUUCUUUUGUAGCAAUAUCUCCACUUGUGAUUGUAACUCUGGUAUGUAUUUCAACAUUCUUGAAACUGUGGCCGGAAUGCUCAACCUU
RNAcentral lists this long non-coding RNA (4231 nucleotides) under Gossypium raimondii (Peruvian cotton). RNAcentral's name for it is "long non-coding RNA (GRAI_LNC005977)". The record is from RNAcentral. Lineage: Eukaryota; Viridiplantae; Streptophyta; Magnoliopsida; Malvales; Malvaceae.